This 144-nucleotide small nucleolar RNA is filed under the name Phaseolus vulgaris (common bean). RNAcentral describes it as "snoRNA snoR136". It matches the Rfam family "Small nucleolar RNA snoR136". The record is from Rfam by way of RNAcentral. Lineage: Eukaryota; Viridiplantae; Streptophyta; Magnoliopsida; Fabales; Fabaceae.
AAGGCUUCUGUUUUCUUAUGAGAUUUUUGCUUGCACGUUUUUGUAUGUGUUUGGCAAUCUUAAACUGAAGCCGAGAUGUGCGUUCCCCUCGCUAUCCAAUGUGGCAAUUUUGAUGCUGCAAUUGGACGUCGGGAAACAAAAUUA